AGAUGAACGCUAGCUACAGGCUUAACACAUGCAAGUCGAGGGGCAGCAUGGUCUUAGCUUGCUAAGGCCGAUGGCGACCGGCGCACGGGUGAGUAACACGUAUCCAACCUGCCGUCUACUCUUGGACAGCCUUCUGAAAGGAAGAUUAAUACAAGAUGGCAUCAUGAGUCCGCAUGUUCACAUGAUUAAAGGUAUUCCGGUAGACGAUGGGGAUGCGUUCCAUUAGAUAGUAGGCGGGGUAACGGCCCACCUAGUCUUCGAUGGAUAGGGGUUCUGAGAGGAAGGUCCCCCACAUUGGAACUGAGACACGGUCCAAACUCCUACGGGAGGCAGCAGUGAGGAAUAUUGGUCAAUGGGCGAGAGCCUGAACCAGCCAAGUAGCGUGAAGGAUGACUGCCCUAUGGGUUGUAAACUUCUUUUAUAAAGGAAUAAAGUCGGGUAUGGAUACCCGUUUGCAUGUACUUUAUGAAUAAGGAUCGGCUAACUCCGUGCCAGCAGCCGCGGUAAUACGGAGGAUCCGAGCGUUAUCCGGAUUUAUUGGGUUUAAAGGGAGCGUAGAUGGAUGUUUAAGUCAGUUGUGAAAGUUUGCGGCUCAACCGUAAAAUUGCAGUUGAUACUGGAUAUCUUGAGUGCAGUUGAGGCAGGCGGAAUUCGUGGUGUAGCGGUGAAAUGCUUAGAUAUCACGAAGAACUCCGAUUGCGAAGGCAGCCUGCUAAGCUGCAACUGACAUUGAGGCUCGAAAGUGUGGGUAUCAACAGGAUA
This 762-nucleotide ribosomal RNA is filed under the name Bacteroides sp. ES-28. RNAcentral's name for it is "bacterial SSU rRNA". It matches the Rfam family "Bacterial small subunit ribosomal RNA", at positions 26 to 779 of the family's 1533-position model. Lineage: Bacteria; Pseudomonadati; Bacteroidota; Bacteroidia; Bacteroidales; Bacteroidaceae. The record is from RNAcentral.